Molecule: ribosomal RNA, 477 nt
Filed under: uncultured organism
Description: partial 16S ribosomal RNA
Rfam family: Bacterial small subunit ribosomal RNA
Source: RNAcentral
GUACACUCCUGCGGGAGGCAGCAGUGGGGAAUUUUGGACAAUGGGCGAAAGCCUGAUCCAGCAAUGCCGCGUGUGUGAAGAAGGCCUUCGGGUUGUAAAGCACUUUUGUCCGGAAAGAAAUCCUUGGCUCUAAUACAGUCGGGGGAUGACGGUACCGGAAGAAUAAGCACCGGCUAACUACGUGCCAGCAGCCGCGGUAAUACGUAGGGUGCGAGCGUUAAUCGGAAUUACUGGGCGUAAAGCGUGCGCAGGCGGUUUGCUAAGACCGAUGUGAAAUCCCCGGGCUCAACCUGGGAACUGCAUUGGUGACUGGCAGGCUAGAGUAUGGCAGAGGGGGGUGGAAUUCCACGUGUAGCAGUGAAAUGCGUAGAGAUGUGGAGGAAUACCGAUGGCGAAGGCAGCCCCCUAGGCCAAUACUGACGCUCAUGCACGAAAGCGUGGGGAGCAAACAGGAUUAGAUACCCUGGUAGUCCCAUG